CUCCUCCUAUGUUUUGAGCUUCGCUAAUUGACAAGCACCUGUUCGAGACAUCAGGAUUUAGAGAUUUGCAGUGUAUUUUAAUUGGGAACAAAAUGACAAAUUUGCAAUGAUGAUUUUUAUAACUACGAAAACUUCAAUACUUGCAUACAUCAUUAAGUGUGCUACGAAAAAGGUAGUGCUCCAGCUCAAACAAUUCUCGCCGUGCGACCUUGGCAACGAACCAGCGGGUCAGCGCACAUCCGGCUCAACAACGUGGCUGUGGAUUAGAGCGCCCGCUGAACGACGCCAGGAUUACUAACUACAACGUCAGCGUGUGCUCCG
Gadus chalcogrammus (walleye pollock) is the source of this 321-nucleotide long non-coding RNA. RefSeq lists it as uncharacterized. Lineage: Eukaryota; Metazoa; Chordata; Actinopteri; Gadiformes; Gadidae. The transcript is spliced from 3 exons. The record is from RefSeq and is a predicted model, not a curated record.